CAGUAGCCGCGGGAAUACGUAGGUGGCAAGCGUUGUCCGGAAUUAUUGGGCGUAAAGGGCUCGCAGGCGGUUUCUUAAGUCUGAUGUGAAAGCCCCCGGCUCAACCGGGGAGGGUCAUUGGAAACUGGGAAACUUGAGCGCAGAAGAGGAGAGUGGAAUUCCACGUGUAGCGGUGAAAUGCGUAGAGAUGUGGAGGAACACCAGUGGCGAAGGCGACUCUCUGGUCUGUAACUGACGCUGAGGAGCGAAAGCGUGGGGAGCGAACAGGAUUAGAUACCCCAGUAGUCCCUGUCUCUUAUAC
This 301-nucleotide ribosomal RNA is filed under the name uncultured bacterium. RNAcentral's name for it is "partial 16S ribosomal RNA". It matches the Rfam family "Bacterial small subunit ribosomal RNA", at positions 509 to 807 of the family's 1533-position model. The record is from RNAcentral.